ACGCUCGACACCUACGGGAGGCAGCAGUUGGGAAUAUUGGACAAUGGAGGAAACUCUGAUCCAGUGACGCCGCGUGAAGGAAGAAGGUCUUCGGAUUGUAAACUUAUUUUGUCAGGGAAGAAAAAUGACUGUACCUGAAGAAAAGCACCGGCUAACUACGUGCCAGUAGCCGCGGUAAUCUGAGCGGGCUGGCAAGGC
This 198-nucleotide ribosomal RNA is filed under the name uncultured bacterium. Its description in RNAcentral is "partial 16S ribosomal RNA". It matches the Rfam family "Bacterial small subunit ribosomal RNA", at positions 328 to 539 of the family's 1533-position model. The record is from RNAcentral.